This is a long non-coding RNA of Salmo salar (Atlantic salmon), 576 nucleotides long. RefSeq lists it as uncharacterized. Lineage: Eukaryota; Metazoa; Chordata; Actinopteri; Salmoniformes; Salmonidae. The record is from RefSeq and is a predicted model, not a curated record.
CUGAUGAACGUUAGUCCUCUAGUUCCUCUUUCUGGCCAGUUAAAACAUUCUUCCGUACUCUCCCCCUAUUCAUUCAUAGAAUGGACGACUGGAGAAGAGAGGUCUAGAUACACAGUCAAACAGGUAAGCCAUGGACUCUCCAUUGUGGAUGCGUCGGAUGGCCUCGGCCAGGAUCAUACUGACGUCCACUGUCUUGAUCUUGGGACACUGGAGCUUCUGGACCUCAUGAGGGACUGUAUUGGUCACCACCACCUGGGGGGCACAAGGACACAAAAUGGAGAGCCAGGUUUCAGCAGGACCUAUGUUUAAGAAUGCCCUUUGAAUAAUUCAGCCCAUAUUGGAAAACAGUGUAUUUGCAGAGUUUGAGUAUGCAUUGCAUAUUACUGUAUUUGGGUAUCGCUGUGUGUACUUGUCUUUUUAAGAAAGCAUAGAUUUGUUUGAUUUAUCCAGCAAAUAGACACUUCUGACCUUGAGCAGCUUCAAGUAUGAGAGCAGCACAGACUACUUACAAUAAUUGUCAGUUGUGUUGAUGUUAGAAAAGAGCCAUUUCAGGCUUAAUAAAAGCCUGUACGAGUA